UACGUAGGGUGCGAGCGUUAAUCGGAAUUACUGGGCGUAAAGAGUGCGCAGGCGGCUUUGCGAGACAGAUGUGAAAUCCCCGGGCUCAACCUGGGAACUGCAUUUGUGACUGCAAGGCUAGAGUACGGCAGAGGGGGAUGGAAUUCCGCGUGUAGCAGUGAAAUGCGUAGAUAUGCGGAGGAACACCAAUGGCGAAGGCAAUCACCUGGGCCUGUACUGACGCUCAUGCACGAAAGCGUGGGGAGCAAACAGG
This 253-nucleotide ribosomal RNA is filed under the name uncultured bacterium. RNAcentral describes it as "partial 16S ribosomal RNA". It matches the Rfam family "Bacterial small subunit ribosomal RNA", at positions 524 to 776 of the family's 1533-position model. The record is from RNAcentral.